AACGCACCUUGCACUCUUUGGUAUUCCGAAGAGUAUGCCUGUUUGAGUGUCGUGAAACCCUCAACCCCCCUGUUUUGUGAUGAAACAGGUGUCUGGGCUUGGAUUCUGGCUGUCUGCCGGUCCCUUAGGAUCAGCUCGGCUGAAAUAUACGAGUAGCUCGCUAAUUGAUAGCAUAGACAGCUCUAGCUCGGCGUGAUAAUUUACUUUUCGUCGAACCUUGAUGCAUCGUCUUAUCGAUUAUAGCAGCGCUUCUAAUGCGUUUCAUUCGUGAAACAUUUAAGCUUUUGACCUCAAAUCAGGCAGGAUUACCCGCUGAACUUAA
Molecule: unclassified non-coding RNA, 322 nt
Filed under: uncultured Sistotrema
Lineage: Eukaryota; Fungi; Basidiomycota; Agaricomycetes; Corticiales; Corticiaceae
Description: partial contains 5.8S ribosomal RNA, internal transcribed spacer 2, and large subunit ribosomal RNA
Rfam family: 5.8S ribosomal RNA (bases 1-52)
Source: RNAcentral